UCAAGCUAUAAAGAGCGUAGGGAGAAUGACUUGGCAUCAGGAGCCGAAGAAGGACGUGACAAGCUGCGAAAAGCUGCGGUUAGGAGCAAAUAUCCAUAGACCCGCAGAUAUCCGAAUGGGGAAACCCGGUACGGCAAUACCGUAUCACUGCAUGGUAAAUACAUAGCCAUGUGGAGGAAACCCUCUGAACUGAAACAUCUAAGUAGGAGGAGGAAGAGAAAGAAACAUCGAUUUCCUAAGUAGCGGCGAGCGAAAGGGAAAGAGGCCAAACCAGAGAUAGCAAUAUCUUUGGGGUUGCGGACUGCGUAAUUGAUUCAAUAUUUUUAGCAGAAGUGUAUGGGAAGACACACCAUAGUAGGUAAUAGUCCUGUAAGCGAAAAGGAUAUUGACAAGGCAGGAUCCAGAGUACCACCGGACACGAGGAACCCGGUGGGAAGCCGGGGGGACCACCCCCCAAGCCUAAAUACUACCUGAUGACCGAUAGUGAAAAGUACAGUGAUGGAAAGUUGAAAAGAACCCCGGAAGGGGAGUGAAAAAGAAUCUGAAACCCUAUGUUUACAAGCUGCUAAAGCACCAUAUGAGUGCGAUAGCGUACUUUUUGUAGAACGGUCCGGCGAGUGUAUGUUGCAAGCGAGGUUAAGGUGUUAAGCACUGAAGCCGAAGGGAGACCGAGUGUGAAUAGCGCGUACAGUUUGCAGUAUACGACCCGAAACCGGGUGACCUAACCAUGGACAGGUUGAAGUGGAAGUAAAAUUCCAUGGAGGACCGAACCCACGUCUGUUGAAAAAGGCGGGGAUGAGCUGUGGUUAGCGGUGAAAUUCCAAUCGAACUCGGAUAUAGCUGGUUCUCAUCGAAAUAGCUUUAGGGCUAGCCUCAGGAUAGUUUAGCGGAGGUAAAGCACUGAAUGGGCUAGGGGGCUUCACGGCUUACCGAACCCUAUCAAACUCUGAAUGCCGCAUAAAUGUUUCCUGGGAGUCAGACUGCGUGAGAUAAGUUUCGUAGUCAAAAGGGAAAGAGCCCAGACCUACAGCUAAGGUCCCUAAAUGAAUUUAAGUGGAAAAGGAUGUGCAGUUGCGUAGACAACUAGGACGUUGGCUUAGAAGCAGCCACUCAUUUAAAGAGUGCGUAAUAGCUCACUAGUCGAGUGAUUGUGCGCCGAAAAUGUAACGGGGCUAAAAUUCAUACCGAAGCUUAGGAAUGAUAGUAAUAUUGUUGGUAGAUGAGCGUUGUGUAAGUCUGCGAAGCUACACCGAAAGGAGUAGUGGAGAUAUCACAAGUGAGAAUGCCGGAAUGAGUAGCGAGAAUUAUGUGAGAAUCAUAAUGGUCGAAAAUCUAAGGUUUCUUGAGGAAGGUUCGUCCGCUCAAGGUAAGCCGGGAGCUAAGGCGAGGCCGAGAGGCGUAGUCGAUGCACAUACGGUUGAUAUUCCGUAGCCGCCAAAACUGUUAAGCAUGCUGACACUUGUGAAUAGCCGAACCCGGGCGUUGGUUGCCCCGGGCGUAAGGGACCGAACUUAUAGUAGGGAAGUCGGCGAUGUCAUGAGGCGAGAAAAGGCAUGUGUAUUGGUGAGGCGCCCGUACCGCAAACCGACACAGGUAGAUGAGGAGAGAAUCCUAAGGCCAACGGGAGAAGGGUUGUUAAGGAACUCGGCAAAUUGACCCCGUAACUUCGGAAUAAGGGGAGCCUACGAGAGUAGGCCGCAGAGAAUAAGCCCAAGCAACUGUUUACCAAAAACAUAGGUCUAUGCUAAAUCGAAAGAUGACGUAUAUGGGCUGACGCCUGCCCGGUGCCGGAAGGUUAAGAGGAGGGCUUAGCGCAAGCGAAGGUCUGAAUUGAAGCCCCGGUAAACGGCGGCCGUAACUAUAACGGUCCUAAGGUAGCGAAAUUCCUUGUCAGGUAAGUUCUGACCCGCACGAAAGGCGUAAUGAUUUGGGCACUGUCUCAACAGCCCACCCGGCGAAAUUGUAGUACUGGUGAAGAUGCCAGUUACCCGCAACUAGACGGAAAGACCCCAUGGAGCUUUACUGUAGCUUAAUACUGGAGAUCGGUAAAUCAUGUACAGGAUAGGUGGGAGGCUUGGAAGCCAGGGCGUCAGCCU
This 2096-nucleotide ribosomal RNA is filed under the name human gut metagenome. Its description in RNAcentral is "bacterial LSU rRNA". It matches the Rfam family "Bacterial large subunit ribosomal RNA", at positions 3 to 2177 of the family's 2925-position model. The record is from RNAcentral.